GAAAUAUAAUAAGUAGUAUAAAUUAUAAAAUUUAGUAAAUUAUUAAAUCUUUAAACGUAUAUUACGUCCCUUAGUAUUCUAUAGGGUAUACCUAUUUAAGCGUUAUCUAUAUCCUUAAGCUCUACUUAGUAUUAGGUGUCUAUUCCGCCUUCGCGCGUAGACUCGCCCUAAAUAUAUUAGUAGUAGUCCUUAUUUUCUCCCAUAUAAUAUAUUACGCUUCUCGAGACUACAGCGGCCCGCGUCUAAUAAGCUAAACCCCCUAUCUUUAACCUUAGAUUAGGUAGGGAUACCCGCUAAACUUAAGC
This 305-nucleotide unclassified non-coding RNA is filed under the name plant metagenome. RNAcentral's name for it is "partial contains internal transcribed spacer 2 and large subunit ribosomal RNA". The stretch from base 1 to 105 matches the Rfam family "5.8S ribosomal RNA", at positions 50 to 154 of the family's 154-position model. The record is from RNAcentral.